GAAUACAGAUGCCUGUCGAGCUUGCUCACGGGUUUUCUAUCAUAUCCAUAACACCUGUGCACUUGUUGGAUGUUCUAAAGACGUAGGCUUAAAGCUGAAGUCAAUAGUCAUCCACUUACACUAAACAAUAAUGUAACAAAUGUAGUCUUAUUAUAACAUAAUAAAACUUUCAACAACGGAUCUCUUGGCUCU
Molecule: unclassified non-coding RNA, 192 nt
Filed under: rhizosphere metagenome
Description: partial ribosomal RNA internal transcribed spacer region
Source: RNAcentral